GUCAGUAACUCAGUGGUAGAGCGUCCGACUGGUGUGCAAAAGGUCAUAAGUUCGAUUCCUGUUAGGGAAACG
Molecule: non-coding RNA, 72 nt
Organism: Desmophyllum pertusum
Lineage: Eukaryota; Metazoa; Cnidaria; Anthozoa; Scleractinia; Caryophylliidae
Source: the annotation of a GenBank genome assembly